RNAcentral lists this ribosomal RNA (921 nucleotides) under Actinomadura kijaniata NBRC 14229. Its description in RNAcentral is "bacterial LSU rRNA". It matches the Rfam family "Bacterial large subunit ribosomal RNA", at positions 1899 to 2819 of the family's 2925-position model. Lineage: Bacteria; Bacillati; Actinomycetota; Actinomycetes; Streptosporangiales; Thermomonosporaceae. The record is from RNAcentral.
UCGAAGCUGAGAAUCUAAGCGCCGGUAAACGGCGGUGGUAACUAUAACCAUCCUAAGGUAGCGAAAUUCCUUGUCGGGUAAGUUCCGACCUGCACGAAUGGCGUAACGACUUCCCCGCUGUCUCAACCACAGGCCCGGCGAAAUUGCAGUACGAGUAAAGAUGCUCGUUUCGCGCAGCAGGACGGAAAGACCCCGGGACCUUCACUAUAGCUUGGCAUUGGCGCUUGGAGCGUCUUGUGUAGGAUAGGUGGGAGACUGUGAAGCCGGCACGCUAGUGUUGGUGGAGUCGCUGGUGAAAUACCACUCUGGUCGUUUUGAGUGUCUAACCCGCACCCGUGGAUCCGGGUGGGGGACAGUGCCUGGUGGGUAGUUUAACUGGGGCGGUUGCCUCCCAAAGAGUAACGGAGGCGCCCAAAGGUUCCCUCAGCCUGGUUGGUCAUCAGGUGGUGAGUGCAAGGGCACAAGGGAGCUUGACUGUGAGACCGACGGGUCGAGCAGGUGCGAAAGCAGGGCCUAGUGAUCCGGCACCGACGUGUGGAAGUGGUGUCGCUCAACGGCUAAAAGGUACCCCGGGGAUAACAGGCUGAUCUUCCCCAAGAGUCCAUAUCGACGGGAUGGUUUGGCACCUCGAUGUCGGCUCGUCGCAUCCUGGGGCUGGAGUAGGUCCCAAGGGUUGGGCUGUUCGCCCAUUAAAGCGGCACGCGAGCUGGGUUUAGAACGUCGCGAGACAGUUCGGUCCCUAUCCGCUGCGCGCGUAGGAGAAUUGCGAGGAUCUGUCCCUAGUACGAGAGGACCGGGACGGACGGACCUCUGGUGUGCCAGUUGUCCCGCCCGGGGCACGGCUGGUUGGCUACGUUCGGUAGGGAUAACCGCUGAAAGCAUCUAAGCGGGAAGCCUUCCUUUAGAUGAGUUCUCCCUCCC